UUAAACAAAUAAUAAGUAUUUUGUUACUUGUGAAGGAUUUGUUUCAAUAAACAAUAGGACAAUGGAAUAAUAGGCCAGUUGGGUAGUUGAUGCAAAAUAAAUAGCUCUCUGGAAUUUCAAAAUUUGAUUCCGUUCCAAUCUUCAGUUCACACUCUGUCCCUCCCUCCCACGUUAUCUCUUUGGUAUGGAGGAUGCCUAGUCUGACUUCUUGUCCAAUUUGCUAUUUAAUUCUAUAGCAAGGCGAGAAAACCAGUCAACAACGACAGAAAUGCUACGUCAUCUCACACGCAUGUAUUUCAAUCUCUAUCGUGUCGCUGCUUCUUCAAAAACCCAGUCAUUCACUUACUCCUCACACUCAUCUCUUCUUACCCACACCCACGCUCACACUCACACUCACACUAACACACUCAUCCCGAUGGAUCUCCAAGGUACCAUCGUCUUCACCACCGUUGGCCGUCCUAACUAUGGCUUUGACGUUUUCUCCAUCAAACUGCCCUCCAAUUUAAAUCACUCCAAAUUCUCCAAUUCCGAUGAACUUCGCCUUACUGACGGCAUCUCCAUCAAUUUUAACGCCCAAUUCAUCCAUGAACACGAUCAAGCUAUUGUCUUCGUCUCCGAACGAACCGGUUACCCCGGAAUUUACCUGUCACGAUCUGGACUUCCCAAAUUGGAGCAGCUUCCAUCUGUCCUGGAGAGCCUUUUCCAUGAUCGUCCGAUCAUCAAGCAUAAUCGCCUCUACUUCGUAUCAGCUCAUGAACAGCCCGAUCAACCUUUCAGAAGUUGGAGCGCUCUUUACUCCAUCGAUCUUAAUCAUCAAAAGAAGGAUGUUACUCGUUUGACCUCUCAUGGAGUUGUUGAUUACAGUCCCGCUAUUUCUUCUAGUGGGAAAUUCGUAGCUGUUGCAUCUUAUGGGUCUCGUCCUUGGGGUGGCGAAUUUCAUGAGCUCUAUACGGAUAUAGUCGUUUUCAAAGAAAGCAAUCCGGAUAAACGAGUGGUGGUUUGUGAAAGAGGUGGAUGGCCCACCUGGUCAGGUGACUCGACGAUUUAUUUCCACCGUCAAGCUGAUGAUGGGUGGUGGAGUAUUUUCCAGGUAAAUUUCCCUGAAGAUGUCCACUUCUCCGGGUUUCCAAACGCUGCUCUUAGGGUUACUCCGCCAGGGGUUCAUUGCUUUACUCCUGCGGCCUUCCAGGAUGGUAAAAGAAUUGCCGUAGCGACUCGGCGGCACAACAACAAUUAUAGGCACAUCGAGAUAUUUGAUCUUGCGUCAAGGACUUUUUAUCCGGUGACUGUAUCACUGAAUCCGAGUUUCCAUCAUUACAACCCCUUUGUUUCUCCAGACUCCUCUCUUCUCGGGUAUCACCGGUUUAGAGGUGAAUCAACUCCCGGCGAGUCAAGGAUUCCAAAUCUUGAACCGAUUAUGUCUCCAAUCAAAGAUCUAAGGAUGCUGAGAAACAACGGAUCAUUUCCCUCAUUUUCCCCUGCCGGUGAUCUCAUAACCUUCAAUCCCGACUUUGAUGAGAAUGGGGGUGUAAAAAUCGUCAAAUCGGACGGUUCAAAACGAUGGACCUUAAUCAAGAACCGAAUGGCCUUCUACAACUCGUGGAGUCCCACUGAGAACGCCAUCUUCACAUCUCUGGGCCCAAUCUUUGAGUCGGUAAAAAAAACGGUGCAGAUUGCACGUGUGACGUUUGAUCGUUCAGAUCUUAACAGUGAUCGCGAAGAGAUCAAAUGCGACGUAAAGAUCCUGACGAGAGAGGACACAGGCAAUAACGCCUUCCCCUCAUGCUCGCCAGAUGGCAAGUCGCUUGUGUUCCGGUCUGGCCGAUCUGGCCACAAGAACCUAUAUAUAAUUGACGCUGUUAACGGAGAGUUUAACGGUGGUAUACGUCGGUUAACGGAGGGACCCUGGAUUGACACUAUGCCUUGCUGGUCACCAACGGGAGACCUCAUAGCAUUUUCUUCAAAUAGACACAAUCCAGAUAAUACAGAUGCAUUUAGCAUCUACGUCAUAAAACCGGACGGCUCUGAUCUCAAGAGAAUCCACGUGGCAGGACCAGCAGGAUCGAGCGAGGUGGACAGGGAGAGGAUAAACCACGUGUGUUUCAGCAAGGAUGGGGAAUGGCUAUUGUUCACCGCUAAUAUAGGUGGCGUCACGGCUGAGCCAGUGUCGUGGCCAAAUCAGUUUCAGCCAUAUGGAGAUUUGUAUUUGGUGAGGUUGGAUGGGAGGGGAUUGAGGAGGCUGACAUGGAAUGGAUACGAGAAUGGGACACCGGCAUGGCACUCUGGGAACAAUCUGGACUUGGGCCGUCUGUGCCUGGAUGAGGAUGUUGGGCAUAAGCUCACGGGCCAGUUCGAUGAGCCAUUGUGGCUAACCUGUGAUAUCUAAAAUCUAAUGACACCGUCAUGGAAAUUUGAUUAGUGGUUUAUUAUAUUGAUGUUAAUAAUUAACCACUAUUGUUUUUUUUUAAAAAAAAAAAUUGUUGACAAUCACUCAAGUGUGGAUUUCACCAACAAUUAGUCAAUUGUUGGACUAACUCUCUUAAAUUACACGUGUCUGCAACUUUGUUGUUAUAUCGACUCCAGAAAGCACCAAGAUAAAUAUGUAAAAAUUCAAUGUUUGUCAGUUCAGAAACUUACAGUGUGGGGUGAUCCUCCAUCUCUGGUUAUCUCCUUUGUUCCACUUCCAGAGCACAAUAGUGGUACCAUUA
This 2708-nucleotide unclassified non-coding RNA is filed under the name Hevea brasiliensis (rubber tree). Lineage: Eukaryota; Viridiplantae; Streptophyta; Magnoliopsida; Malpighiales; Euphorbiaceae. The record is from RNAcentral.